This 1188-nucleotide long non-coding RNA is filed under the name Cricetulus griseus (Chinese hamster). RNAcentral's name for it is "lncRNA (ENSCGRG00000026664.1)". Lineage: Eukaryota; Metazoa; Chordata; Mammalia; Rodentia; Cricetidae. The record is from RNAcentral.
CACAACCUUCUUUAGAUAGAGCGCAAUAAAAACUCUCCACCCCGAGGAGGGGCCAACAGGGAACAAAGGGGCCCCUCCAUCGGCAGGCCCCUCUCUGCUCAGAAACAACAUUGUGUCACUUCCAUAAGGUGCACAGUGAAACACUCCACACGCUAACACCUGCCUUCCAGCCUCCCUGCCACUCCUCGCUGAGUGAACAAGGGUACAAGCACAUGGUGAAGCCAAGACCCUUGGCUUCGCUGAUGACCCUGCUGCUCACAAUGUACCCACACUCCCACACAGGUGUCUCCUGCUGAGAUCCCAUCUACCCUUUGAAGGCCACUUAAAAGGCUUCUCUCACCCAACUGGAUUGCAUUUCUACCUGCUCUGGCACAUACAAAGCACUCCUUGUGCCCCCCCACCAUCCCCCCCUCUUUAGCGUCUUCCUAUUUAGGCAGAUUCACUUGUGUACUCCACUUUCCUCACCCUAGCCAUGUGGUGAGCUCACUGAUGAAUGCUGGCUCUUAUUCAUUUCUGCAUGAGCACAGGAUCUUGCCCACGCCAGGUGCCGCCCAGCCUUUAUGACUGCUAACUGGCAACAGGGGUCACUGGGACUGGUGGGUAGGUAGGAGCAGGGAGUGGGGGAAGGGGAGUCUCUUUUCUCCCUGCCUGAAAGCACACCAGUGAUCACACUAGUAAAUAAUAACUUCUCUGAGUCCCAGGAGUGGCAAUGAGACAGAGUUGGAAAACAGAGCCUCAGAGAGCUACAAAUCCCUGAGGAGUGGCCACAGGAAACAUCCUGCCAUGGGGACCCAGAAAAGGGAUGGAGAAGCAAAGUCCCCAGAGGGCAGGGAUGGAGACUGGAGGCUGACAAAGAGGUCAGAGAAAAAGUCAGGUGGAAAUCGGGCAAAAAAGAAGAAAUUUAGGGAAUGGAUCAAAGAGAGCACGAUAGUGACAGAGAAAGCAGGAAGGGAGGGACAAGAUGAGAGAGGGGGCUGUACAGAGGCAGCAGGACACCUCAGACGGGUGUUUCAUCUCAGACAUGGAGGCCAGAUCUGUGCCCCAUCCAGUGGCAACGCUUCUGAAACUUCGAAAAGCAGACUGACUUGCCUCUCUGACUCUCUGUGUGACCUUGGACAUCUGCACUUGGACAUCACAGGACAGACAACAUCGGGUCCACCAGCUAGCUGUUCCCAAGCCUCAACAUGA